UAGGGAAUCUUCGGCAAUGGACGAAAGUCUGACCGAGCAACGCCGCGUGAGUGAAGAAGGUUUUCGGAUCGUAAAACUCUGUUGGUAGAGAAGAACGUUGGUGAGAGUGGAAAGCUCAUCAAGUGACGGUAACUACCCAGAAAGGGACGGCUAACUACGUGCCAGCAGCCGCGGUAAUACGUAGGUCCCGAGCGUUGUCCGGAUUUAUUGGGCGUAAAGCGAGCGCAGGUGGUUUAUUAAGUCUGGUGUAAAAGGCAGUGGCUCAACCAUUGUAUGCAUUGGAAACUGGUAGACUUGAGUGCAGGAGAGGAGAGUGGAAUUCCAUGUGUAGCGGUGAAAUGCGUAGAUAUAUGGAGGAACACCGGUGGCGAAAGCGGCUCUCUGGCCUGUAACUGACACUGAGGCUCGAAAGCGUGGGGAGCAAACAGGAUUAGAUACCCUGGUAGUCCACGCCGUAAACGAUGAGUGCUAGAUGUAGGGAGCUAUAAGUU
RNAcentral lists this ribosomal RNA (491 nucleotides) under uncultured Lactococcus sp. RNAcentral describes it as "bacterial SSU rRNA". It matches the Rfam family "Bacterial small subunit ribosomal RNA", at positions 355 to 838 of the family's 1533-position model. Lineage: Bacteria; Bacillati; Bacillota; Bacilli; Lactobacillales; Streptococcaceae. The record is from RNAcentral.